GAUUAAUAUUAUAGAAAAAUUUUUUGCCGGUAAUUACUGGUUGACAAAGUAUAGUGUUUCCUGCAUUCCAUCUUAGAGACAACAAUAAUAGUAUUGUUGGACGCAAUUAAGGCUUGUCAACGGAUUCUUGUGAUAUUUUGUUUGAUAAUUCGAAUCUUUUUUGCUAAAUGUGUACACGGUAUAAUCAUUUCCAGUUGUAAGUGGAUUGGAUUGUAUGCAGCUUAUGCAAGCCACUGAAUUUAUAAAAUUUUGCUAGCAAUGACUAUACCGGAACUGCAACCUUUUGCUGCAAAAACCUACCUCUUCGGACACAUCCGUCAGCUCGGCGAACAUAUGUUCUAGGAGAUUACACAGCUGGAUCAGAUCCUCCUCGUGCGUUUCCGGUCCCACCGGCAUCUCGAUGACCUUUUGCAGGGAACGCUUCUUGCCGGGUCCGGCGGCCCAUCCGCUGCUGGGAAUCCAACUGAUCCGGCGUCCCUUGUAGCUGCUACCGGUCGUCGAAGUGGGCAGCUUCCGGGUCUGCCAGAUACCGACCAGCGGACUGAACUGGAAAUGCUCCGCCGGCACCGGACUGCACCAUACAAUACCGAUCAACGCUAACACCGCACAAAUGCCAAUGUACACUUUCAUCGCGCAGGACAUAAUGUGGCACAAACGUUAUAUACGAGUUGUUAAAAACACAUCCGGUCAACGGAGAAAAGUUAGAUAAAAUUAUUCUAGGAGCGGUUGUAUAUAUUAAGUAUAAAUCAGUGUAUAAACGGAUUGGUGUAUAUAUAAAUAACUUACGAGCCUGUAAGUGCGUGUAAGAUAUUUGUAUGAAAAUUUCGACGCAGUUCUGACUGAACGGAUGUUUGUCGUUUUACAUGUGAAUAAAUAUUCUUCGGAAUGAUGGUGAAAGCGAGCGAUACGUGGGAAAGGGAUUAGCGGGACGCUCCUCGAGCUGCAAUCACACGUGCCAGGUGCGCGGGAUUAUUGCGCGCGCUAUGGACGUAAUAUGGGAUAGCGGAUAUUGUAAGGUUUCCAAUUUUCCGUGUUGCGCCCGCGCUUGUUUGUCUGUGAUAUCUGCGUCGGAUGUGGUAAACUGAUCUGACAAUCGGCAUCAUUGACAAGAUAGCGAACUUUUCCCGGCUUGGAUGAAUUCACCCGCGAUGUUGACCCUUUAUUAACAAACAGCGGUAAGUGCGUCAGGAUACUGAAACGCGCUGCGGAUGAUGGACGGGGGCGGGGACUAUUUGCCGCUGACCAUUGUCCAAUGCUGUGCGCGGCCGUCGCUACGGAUGACACGGACAUUGCGGCCGGUGGUUGCAGGGGCCAGAUAAUGGUCAGACGCGGGACGUUGUAGCCGUUAAUAAUACGGUGAACGGACGACAUACGCCAGCCGUAGCGGGGACUAAAGGUCAACUGUCCACCGGCCAGCGUCAGGAUGCCGAGAGUGUACAGAAGCGUUUGUAUAUACCGAAAGCGUUGCAUGAUCAUAUUAUAGCAAUCAAUUGCCCCUACUCACAGUGUACAGUAUAAAAAUGACUAAAAUGGCAACCCUAACCAAGAAAAAUAUAUACAGUAUAAUAUCUGUAUUUGUGAAGAUUUACCUGCCUGUGCUCUUGAUAACCCACUUUGUAUAAUAGAAAAUAUUAAACG
Long non-coding RNA from Paramacrobiotus metropolitanus, 1638 nucleotides. RefSeq lists it as uncharacterized. The record is from RefSeq and is a predicted model, not a curated record. The transcript is spliced from 3 exons. NCBI's taxonomy places the organism in Eukaryota, Metazoa, Tardigrada, Eutardigrada, Parachela, Macrobiotidae.